Molecule: transfer RNA, 73 nt
Organism: Ovis aries (sheep)
Lineage: Eukaryota; Metazoa; Chordata; Mammalia; Artiodactyla; Bovidae
Rfam family: tRNA
About the family: Transfer RNA (tRNA) molecules are approximately 80 nucleotides in length. Their secondary structure includes four short double-helical elements and three loops (D, anti-codon, and T loops).
Source: Rfam
UCCCUGAUGGUCCAGUGGUUAGGACUCUGCUCUUUCAGUGUUGAAUACUCAGGUUUGAUCCCUGGUAGGGGAA